Molecule: ribosomal RNA, 279 nt
Filed under: uncultured bacterium
Lineage: Bacteria
Description: partial 16S ribosomal RNA
Rfam family: Bacterial small subunit ribosomal RNA
Source: RNAcentral
UGCCAGCCGCCGCGGUAAUACGAAGGGGGCGAGCGUUGUUCGGAAUUACUGGGCGUAAAGGGCGCGUAGGCGGUCUUUUAAGUUAGGCGUGAAAUCCCCGGGCUCAACCCGGGAACUGCGCUUAAGACUGGAAGACUAGAAAGCGGAAGAGGGUAGUGGAAUUCCCAGUGUAGAGGUGAAAUUCGUAGAUAUUGGGAAGAACACCAGUGGCGAAAGCGGCUACCUGGCCUUCAACUGACGCUGAGGCGCGAAAGCGUGGGGAGCAAACAGGAUUAGAUA